GGAAUCUUGGGCAAUGGGCGCAAGCCUGACCCAGCCAUGCCGCGUGUGUGAAGAAGGCCUUCGGGUUGUAAAGCACUUUCAGUGGUAAAGAAAAGCCUGGGGCUAAUACCCCCGGGUCUUGACGUUAGCCACAGAAGAAGCACCGGCUAACUCCGUUCCAGCAUCCGCGGUAAUACGGAGGGUGCAAACGGUAAACGGAAUUACUGGGCGUAAAGCGCGCGUAGGCGGUUCGACAAGUGGGAUGUGAAAGCCCUGGGCUCAACCUGGGAAUGGCAUUCCAAACUAUCGGGCUAGAGUGUGGUAGAGGGAGGUAGAAUUUCCUGUGUAGCGGUGAAAUGCGUAGAUAUAGGAAGGAAUACCAGUGGCGAAGGCGGCCUCCUGGACCAACACUGACGCUGAGGUGCGAAAGCGUGGGGAGCAAAC
This 423-nucleotide ribosomal RNA is filed under the name uncultured bacterium. RNAcentral's name for it is "bacterial SSU rRNA". It matches the Rfam family "Bacterial small subunit ribosomal RNA", at positions 358 to 773 of the family's 1533-position model. The record is from RNAcentral.